Molecule: long non-coding RNA, 783 nt
Organism: Homo sapiens (human)
Lineage: Eukaryota; Metazoa; Chordata; Mammalia; Primates; Hominidae
Exons: 4
Source: RefSeq, a predicted model, not a curated record
GGUGGGAAAGGCUUCUAGAAGCUUCUAGAAGCUCUGCCCUGGUGUUGACACACUAGUCAUCUCUCCUGAGAUUUAAUAACAUAAUUAUCUGAUUCACCUUGGCUUUUUUUCCUUUGACUUUUCCAGAUUCCGUCAUAUCUCCGAGACUCCAAGUAAACCUGUGUCCAAAUGUCUCAUAGGAUGCUCCCAGGAACGGCUUGAUCCUCGUUUUUGAAACUUCAAGUGCUGGCUAAGUGAAGCUGGUAAAGACCCAGGCUCUGGAGUCGGACUGCCUAGGUUCAAAUCCCAGCUUCACCAUUUGAUCUCAGGUAAUGUGCCAACAUUGUAACAAGGUUUAAAGGAUGGAUAUCUCACACAUGAGCAUGAAAAACUGUAAAGUAAGGCCAGAGAGAUUAAAUCCUUUGCUUGGGGGUAGGCAGCAGUGUUGGUUUUGGAGCCCACGUGUCCUGACUGAAUACUCUACAGCUGGUCAUUACUCCAGCUCCUUCUAGAGCAUCAGGGAGUCCUGACUCUGGAAUCCUGCAGUUCCCUCUGCCAGGGACUUGAGGAUGUUCUGGUGUUCACAUAUAGCACAAGCACUUCCCCCUCUUUUCUUCUGAUACCUGCAUGCACACCUGAGACGCCUACUCCAAGACUCACCCUGGGGAUGAAGUGGCCUGAUUUCAUUGUCAUAAAGGCAUCUCUGAUGGGAUUCUCCCAAGUCAGUAAUCAUCUGUGGGCUUUAUGAAUAACAAACAUCUUAGCCUUGGAUUAUGUAGCUAAUAAAAAUAAGAGGUAUAUUCU